This 546-nucleotide long non-coding RNA is filed under the name Mustela putorius furo (domestic ferret). RNAcentral's name for it is "lncRNA (ENSMPUG00000028737.1)". Lineage: Eukaryota; Metazoa; Chordata; Mammalia; Carnivora; Mustelidae. The record is from RNAcentral.
AUGAACUGUGUGUUGAACUGGACUAUUUCAAAGCAACUGCCCUAUUGAAUUACAGAUACAAAAAGGAUUACACUCAUUUUAGCAUGGAGAAUCAGAUUUCCAUUCUUUGAGAAUGACUAAAAACCUCAAUUUUUUUCUAUCCACAGAUGGUACUAAUUUGAACACAUCAUUCCAUGCUUCCUGGAGUAAUCACACAGCUUGCUUAGAUUUUCUAAACAUGACUGAACUGUGAUGAAGCGAUCAACAUUCACUGGCAAGAAAUGUCUUUACAAUAAUGGUGGCAUUAUUUGGAAGCACACAGCAGGGAUCACUGGUGCUAUUUGGGAUACACACUUGGAUCUUGAACCCUAAACACAGAGCCUGAAAAUAGUAAGUAUUAAAUAAGUAUUUAUUGGUCAAAUUUCCACACUACAAUUAUAAAAGUUACUUCAGACCUGAUAUUCACUCUUAAGAGAAGGAUUAUAUUUAAUACUUAAGUCUGUAUGAGGGAUAUUUUGUAAAACACUUGAAUUUCAAUUAGAGUAGCAAUGCUAAUAGCUAUUUCUU